GUUUCGCGCAUGUAAUCCAAGCUCCCGGGAGGCUGAGGCUGGAGGAUCGUCUGAGCUCAGGACCUCUGAGCUGCAUCCUGGAGAAGCCCGGGACCAGCAGGUUGUCUAAGCACGGGUGUACCGGCCCAGGACGGAGACGGAGCAGGUCAAAGCCCCCGUGCCGCUCAGUAGUGGGAUCUCGCCUGUGAAUAGACGCUGUAGUGCAGCCUGAGUAACACAGCGGGACCCAGUUUUUA
Molecule: signal recognition particle RNA, 236 nt
Filed under: Sparus aurata (gilthead seabream)
Lineage: Eukaryota; Metazoa; Chordata; Actinopteri; Spariformes; Sparidae
Description: Metazoan signal recognition particle RNA (ENSSAUG00010022927.1)
Rfam family: Metazoan signal recognition particle RNA
About the family: The signal recognition particle (SRP) is a universally conserved ribonucleoprotein. It is involved in the co-translational targeting of proteins to membranes.
Source: RNAcentral